UUUAACCUCAGCAAGUUCCUUUUGAGUUUUUAAUAGAGGGAUAUUAAUUUAAAGAAGUAACUCUCAUCUUAUGCAUCAUUAACUCUUCGCCGGCUUUAUGUUUAUAUAUGCACAGAUGGUCAACCAUAGCUCGAUACCUGCCAGGAAGAACGGACAAUGAAAUAAAGAACUAUUGGAGAACCCAUUUCAAGAAAAAGGGAAAGCCUUCUGAAAAGAAAGAUAGGAGAAGAUUACUUAAACAGAAGAUGGAACAAGAUGAAACUGGCACCGGAGCUAAGGCGUCGCCCCUGUCAGAGGUAACAAGCGAACAGACUCUCUCUCCGGAGCUACAAGCCCAGCAAGAAUUUCCAACGCUACC
Molecule: long non-coding RNA, 358 nt
Filed under: Coffea arabica (coffee)
Lineage: Eukaryota; Viridiplantae; Streptophyta; Magnoliopsida; Gentianales; Rubiaceae
Description: long non-coding RNA (CARA_LNC005169)
Source: RNAcentral